Molecule: long non-coding RNA, 203 nt
Filed under: Homo sapiens (human)
Lineage: Eukaryota; Metazoa; Chordata; Mammalia; Primates; Hominidae
Description: non-protein coding lnc-KCNJ12-10:1
Source: RNAcentral
GAAUUGUCUUCUUUUUUCAGCUGCUACUCUGCUAAGACAAGAGUUAGCCCCUGAGCUAUGUUAUCAGUUCAAGGCUUUGCAGAUAGCGCUGUAUCGUGGGGGAAAAAUGAACAUGGUUUUCAAAAAGGAGGAGAACAUUUCUAUAACGUUGAGACUUUUAGUAAUCAGGGCUAUUGAUGUCAGAUGGCUGUUGGGACAAAUGA